RNAcentral lists this ribosomal RNA (433 nucleotides) under uncultured bacterium. RNAcentral describes it as "bacterial SSU rRNA". It matches the Rfam family "Bacterial small subunit ribosomal RNA", at positions 29 to 507 of the family's 1533-position model. The record is from RNAcentral.
AACGAACGCUGGCGGCAGGCCUAACACAUGCAAGUCGAGCGCACCGCAAGGGGAGCGGCGGACGGGUUAGUAACGCGUGGGAAUGUACCCUUUUCUACGGAAUAGCCUCGGGAAACUGAGAUUAAUACCGUAUACGCCCGGUAACGGGGAAAGAUUUAUCGGAGAAGGAUCAGCCCGCGUAAGAUUAGAUAGUUGGUGGGGUAAUGGCCUACCAAGUCUACGAUCUUUAGCUGGUUUGAGAGGAUGAUCAGCAACACUGGGACUGAGACACGGCCCAGACUCCUACGGGAGGCAGCAGUGGGGAAUCUUAGACAAUGGGCGCAAGCCUGAUCUAGCCAUGCCGCGUGAGUGAAGAGGGCCUUAGGGUCGUAAAGCUCUUUCAGUGGGGAAGAUAAUGACGGUACCCACAGAAGAAACCCCGGCUAACUCCGUG